AACAAGGUGAACAUUCCUUGACCAGUGGGUAGUGACGGAUCUCUUCCGUGGUUUGGUCUUAUUGGAUUGACCGGGCCAUCACGAGGUUCCAGGAAAUAGCUCCCACAAGAGACCGUACCCGAAACCGACACAGGUGGACUGGUAGAGUAUACCAAGGCGCUUGAGAGAACUAUGCUGAAGGAACUCGGCAAUUUGCCUCCGUAACUUCGGGAUAAGGAGGCCUCAUAGGCGGGCAACCGUUUGUGAGGGGCACAAACUAGGGGGUGGCGACUGUUUAACAAAAACACAGGGCUCUGCUAAGCCGCAAGGCGACGUAUAGGGUCUGACGCCCCGGUGCCGGAAGGUUAAGAGGAGAGGUGCAAGCUUUGAAUCGAAGCCCCGGUAAACGGCGGCCGUAACAAUAACGGUCCUAAGGUAGCGAAAUUCCUUGUCGGGUAAGUUCCGACCUGCACGAAUGGCGUAACGAUCUCCCCGCUGUCUCCAGCAUAGACUCAGUGAAAUUGAAUUCCCCGUGAAGAUGCGGGGUACCUGCGCUUAGACGGAAAGACCCCGUGCACCUUUACUAUAACUUUACACUGGCAUUCGUGCUUGCAUGUGUAGGAUAGGUGGUAGGCUAUGAAGCGAGGGCGCUAGCUCUUGUGGAGCCACCCUUGAAAUACCACCCUUACGAUCAUGGAUGUCUAACCGCGACCCGUCAUCCGGGCCCGGGACAGUGUAUGGUGGGUAGUUUGACUGGGGCGGUCGCCUCCCAAAGAGUAACGGAGGCGUGCGAAGGUGGGCUCAGACCGGUCGGAAAUCGGUCGUCGAGUGCAAUGGCAUAAGCCCGCCUGACUGCGAGACUGACAAGUCGAGCAGAGACGAAAGUCGGCCAUAGUGAUCCGGUGGUCCGUUGUGGAACGGCCAUCGCUCAACGAAUAAAAGGUACGCCGGGGAUAACAGGCUGAUGAUUCCCAAGAGUCCAUAUCGACGGAAUCGUUUGGCACCUCGAUGUCGACUCAUCACAUCCUGGGGCUGGAGAAGGUCCCAAGGGUUCGGCUGUUCGCCGAUUAAAGUGGUACGUGAGUUGGGUUCAAAACGUCGUGAGACAGUUUGGUCCCUAUCUGGCGUGGGCGUCGGAGAAUUGAGAGGAUCUGUCCUUAGUACGAGAGGACCGGGAUGGACGUACCUCUGGUGGACCUGUUGUGGCGCCAGCCGCAGUGCAGGGUAGCUAUGUACGGUCGGGAUAACCGCUGAAGGCAUCUAAGCGGGAAACCCACCUCAAGAUAAGUUCUCCCUUGAAAGCCGUGGUAGACCACCACGUUGAUAGGCCGGGUGUGGAAGUGGAGCGAUCCAUGCAGCUUACCGGUACUAAUCGCCAA
Molecule: ribosomal RNA, 1358 nt
Filed under: metagenome
Description: bacterial LSU rRNA
Rfam family: Bacterial large subunit ribosomal RNA
Source: RNAcentral